Molecule: long non-coding RNA, 4410 nt
Organism: Brassica rapa (field mustard)
Lineage: Eukaryota; Viridiplantae; Streptophyta; Magnoliopsida; Brassicales; Brassicaceae
Source: RefSeq, a predicted model, not a curated record
CUUAAUAACGGCACGUUCUUUUAAGCUCUCCGUCCAUUUUAAUUUUUAAGUCCACUUAUUUUCCAUCGUCCAGUUUUAAUUUAUUUAUCCUUCUUCUUCUUUAUUAUUUUGACAUUUUAUUUCUAUCCAUUUCGUUCUUUUUUAUUCCAUAAAUCUUAUGUAUUUAUAUACAUAUUUUUUUACUUUACGUCGAUAAAUCAUAGGAACUAUAUUCCAUUAGUCUUUGAAAAUCAAAUGAACCUGAACUCAAUACAAAUGUUUUAAAACAUAAUAGUUGAAAUUCAUUGUUAAUAAUUUUUUGAUAUUCAUAAAAAAAUUAUUAACUUAUGUUCAUGAAAAUAAUACAUGAUAUAAUUCAAAAUUCAUAGAUCGCCAACAUUUUACCAUUCAAAAAUAUGUAUUAGUAUCAUCCAUUGACCAAGCUUAAAAAUACAAUUUUGGUUUUGGUUCUUAAUUUCUAUUAAAUAACAUUUGAUCGGUGCACCAUAUUUGGUUAAGUCAAAUUAGUUAGUGAUAGAAUUUUCUACACGUAACACUACCAUUUAUUGGUUCUUGGUUUAUUUGGUCAAACCAUUUAUUGGUUCUAUUCAUUAAAAAUGUCAAAUUGUGUUAUCCUUUUGAGCUUGAUAUUCACUAAAACGUCAGUGAACCUAUCCUCUUCUUUUUUGCACAAGGCGUCAACUAGACAUGACACCAAUGAGGAUGGGUACCAUUUUUCAAUCUCCGCAACUUGAGCUUUCAAUUCACCUUUAAUCCCUUUCGUUUUACCCAUCUGGUCCACACCUAAAAAUCCCCAAGCAUAUGCUGCCAUUUUCUUUGCUUGUAGUUGUCAAAAAAAUGCGAUCGACAGUUGGUAAAAUGACGUUUUCGUAUACAUUAUAAUGUGAAAGAAAAUGAUGUUUUAGGUCAGAAUUCAAUUUUUCUAAGUCCCACGUUUAAUGCCAACUAGGUGUAAGUGCCCGCGUCUACGGCUCAGCCGGUUGGGUCUUUUUCAUGCUCAAACCUAACUAAUCCAACCAAGUCCUUAAUACUGUUUCUUUGGUCUCACAUCAAACUAAUACUCCCUUUGUUCCUAAAAGAUCCAUGUUUUAGAAAAAAAAUUGUUUCAAAAAUAUAUAUUUUCAUAUUUUUAAUGCAUAAAUUAAAUAUAAAUUGUAAACUUCAAAAAACAUAAUUGUAUUUAUUAAAAUUUUAUUGGUGAAAACUUGUGGGAAAUAAUUGAUUAUAGAAAAUAAUGUAUUGAUAACUAAAAUUUGAUAUACUUUCUUAAUAAGUGUGAAAAUCCUAUAAUAUGAAUUUUUUAGAAACAGGAGUAGUAAAUAAAACCGUCAAAGUUUUAAAUUGAAGUCGGUUGUGUCAUUUGAUAGAUUUUUGUAGUUUUUCCUAGCUUGAAAUUACCUUAUAAUAUUUCUGACGAGAGAAGGUUGUUUCAGCAAGAAAAAAAAAACUAGGGGAAAAUGGCCCGUUCUACUCUAGCUAGAUCCGUGUAUAGCAUUUUAAGUCAACUAGGUAGUUACUUAUAGUUAUAUACAUAAUUGUUUAUAUAUUACCUUGGCAAGCCGGUUCCACUUCAUUUUUUGGAACUAUAUACAGAGAAGUCAAACUCCUUUUUAGGAUGAAUUUAUUCAAUAAUCAAAAUAUUUGUAGCAAAUGAGUUAUACAUAAUAUAAGCAAAUAAACAACCAGAACGCCAGUUGGGUCUAUACCGUUAGAAGAGUCGGACGUGACAUGAUAGUACGUAUCUAUUAAAUAACUUGUUCAAUCGGAUUACUAGCACAAAUAACAAAACAAAAACAAAGUAUAAUACUUUACUUUUUCAGAUUUCUGUCUAAGAAAACCGGUUAGAUUUAAAACUUGCACUCCGAUAUGAAAAUAAAACAACGGUGUAGUUUGAAAGCGGAGCACCACUCGAAGUCUCGAACACAUACCAAUAAGCAACUAGGCAUGCUUAAAUAUGAAAAGGACUACCGCAAGGGUUGAAAACUUUACUCAUUUCAAGACUCUUAGUUAGUAUCUAAAAUAAUACUACUAUAAUAGUGAUUAGUCACAUUAAUUUCUUUGUUCCUUUGUUGAUUUUUUAUAUAGAUAUUGACAUUUGUUUGUUUCCUUUUUUUCUUUACCAACUUGUGGGUUUACUUCAGGAUUAUAAGUUUCACCCACUAAGAAAACAUUGGCAGAUUAAUGUCGUUUUGCGAAAUGAUUUUCUGGACGCUUUCUAGGAAAAUAAUCGACUUCAAUAAUUAAAAACUCCGUGACGACUCUCGCUGUAUACGCAACAAUAAUUUAUCUUCUUGUUGAAUCAUUGUAGGCUCGCCCCAGACUAUCUAUAUUUGCAGAUAAAUUCCAUGUAAGAUAAAAUUACAUUUCUUUUCAUACAAAGAUAGUUACAUUUCUAAAUUCAAAUAAUAAUAAUAAAAUGUGUUUCAGUUCGUUUUAAUUUUCAGUUCAAAUAGACAAUUUUUAUAAAAAAAUCGUCUUAGACCAAUUAUUAAAUGAAGAGCUAAUUUUAUCUUAAUACACCCCUUCUUCAAUAAUAAUGUCACUUUUCAUUCUAAGUUAUCGUCUUCUGUUGCCAAUGCAAUAUUCUAAACUAAAUUAUAAUCUUAUUCAUAUUAGUUUAUCUUAAUAACUGAAAGAUAAUAUUACAGAGUUGUUCUUCUAGAAGUUUAGUAUAUAAAAUAAUAAGAAUUUUAAUAUAUUAAAUUUGUGUGAAAUUUUCUAAAACACUAAAUUAUAAAAUGGAUGACGACCGAAUUCAGCACACAAAUAAUUUACAGUUUACAUGCAUCAUACAAGACUAUCUCAAAAUAAUUCAAUUCAUAGUUUGUAUUGUCACUUGCUCUAAAUUUUGGUACCAGUGAGUCAAUGAGGCUGCUGCAGUAUUUUGUUUCUUAAAUUCGCACAAUUGUUUUUCACUAGCUAACACGGUUUAAACACUUCAAUAAAAAUUUCCAUGAUAUGUACAUCAUUUAUUAGAUUAUAUAACAAGGAAAAUAAAUAUUAAAAAUGAACAAGGAAAGACUAUCGUUUCGGCACUGACGCGGUUACAAUAAUCUGAAGCGAGACCAAAAUUGCAAAAGCAAAAUAAACAAGAGUCAAUGCAUUCACAUAACUGCCCAGACCUUUUUCGUCUAGGACCAGUUAAGUUCCACGUGGUCAACUACAAAAUUUUUAUAAUAUCGUGUGAAAAUGUGUUUUAUUAAAUUAUUAUCUACAAUCCGUAUUUCUUGAUUUGAAUGAUUUCAAUCUGUCGACAAAAAAAAAAAAAAAUGAUUUCAAUCUGUAGUGAAGGUCACAAUGAAAAUCAGUACACCCCAGCGACAGCCGACAAGUGACAACUUUUUUUCCGAGUGACAGCUUUUUUUUCGAGUGACAACUUUUUUAGGCUAAUAAUUGUAUAAAUAUCAGGGAUAAUUUGCUCAAAAACAAAGGAAAUGAAUGGAAUUAAUGAACUAACCAAAACGGAGAAAAAUGCAAAAAAGUUAGUGAGCUGGGGCAAAGUAAUUGUCGAGACUACCCUCUGUUAUAGCAAGGCUACUGUUUCAGAAUAUAGGGUAAGUACAAUUAGUAUCUUUAGAAAUCUGUCUACUUACAAUAAGAUUUGGCAAGGAUUUUGGAUUAGAUUUGAAAAUAUUUUUCUUUGAAAAAGAAUGGAUUGUGUUUUUCUGCAAGUGAAACCUUCUCCACUUAGUAUUUUACACAUUCGGUGCCCAAGCAAAAAAGAAUCCAACUAUAGGAUUUGCAUCAGUAACAUAUAAGCUCAGAGUCGCCGCCACCACAGCAAAACCAACAAAGCUCAGAUGUUGGCUUUAACAUGAACAUGGAAGUGAACAGGUGAAGAAGAGAAGAGGUAGACCGAGGAAAUAAGAAACGGAAACUGCAAAGCGUCACUGAUUUUUGUACAUGGACCUUCUUCUUUCACCGUUAGCCAACCUAGUGGAGAGUCUGGAGAUGGUGGUGGCUCCGGCGGAGGGGUAACCUUGCCUACUGUUAAGAAGAUGAGAGGACUGACUACUUGUUAUAGCCUUGGGUCAAACAUUGGAAACAACACAACUGAUGGAGCAAAAAAGAAGUCUUCUGAAGGGAGUGGGAUCGAUGGUGGGUGUGUAGAUUUCUAAAUCCAAGAGUUGACUUAGCUUUUCUAUGGUGAUAUGUAUAUAGUUAAGUUUACACAAGAAUGUAUUUUAUGUGAAGUCUUUGGUUACAGAUAACUUUAGCCUGGUUAAGUUUAUUUUUGGGUUGAUAAGAUUUCUUUUCUUGUAACGAAUGAGAGAUCACUCUUACAAAACCGGUUAUAAGAAAUUUUAGCAUCGUUUGCUUUCCCUUUUGGCUUGUUAAACUUUCUUGUAACCAAUGAUGUAAUAUAUUAUCAUGUAAUGAAAUUGUUUUAUCGUCAAGUUGUUGACUAUA